GAUGAACGCUGGCGGCGUGCCUAAUACAUGCAAGCCGAGCGAAUGGAUUAAGAGCUUGCUUUUAUGAAGUUAGCGGCGGACGUGUGCGUAACACGUGGGUAACCUGCCCAUAAGACUGGGAUAACUCCGGGACACCGGGGCUAAUACCGGAUAACAUUUUGAACCGCAUGGUUAGAAAUUGAAAGGCGGCUUCGGAUGUCACUUAUGGAUGGACCCGCGUCGCAUUAGCUAGUUGGUGAGGUAACGGCUCACCAAGGCAACGAUGCGUAGCCGACCUGAGGGGGUGAUCGGCCACACUGGGACUGAGACACGGCCCAGACUCCGACGGGAGGCAGCAGUAGGGAAUCUUCCGCAAUGGACGAAAGUCUGACGGAGCAACGCCGCGUGAGUGAUGAAGGCUUUCGGGUCGUAAAACUCUGUUGUUAGGGAAGAACAAGUGCUAGUUGAAUAAGCUGGCACCUUGACGGUACCUAACCAGAAAGCCACGGCUAACUACGUGCCAGCCGCCGCGGUAA
RNAcentral lists this ribosomal RNA (515 nucleotides) under uncultured bacterium. Its description in RNAcentral is "partial 16S ribosomal RNA". It matches the Rfam family "Bacterial small subunit ribosomal RNA", at positions 28 to 523 of the family's 1533-position model. The record is from RNAcentral.